UAGGGAAUCUUCCACAAUGGACGCAAGUCUGAUGGAGCAACGCCGCGUGAGUGAAGAAGGUCUUCGGAUCGUAAAGCUCUGUUGUUGGUGAAGAAGGAUAGAGGCAGUAACUGGUCUUUAUUUGACGGUAAUCAACCAGAAAGUCACGGCUAACUACGUGCCAGCAGCCGCGGUAAUACGUAGGUGGCAAGCGUUGUCCGGAUUUAUUGGGCGUAAAGCGAGCGCAGGCGGAAUGAUAAGUCUGAUGUGAAAGCCCACAGCUCAACCGUGGAACUGCAUCGGAAACUGUCAUUCUUGAGUGCAGAAGAGGAGAGUGGAACUCCAUGUGUAGCGGUGGAAUGCGUAGAUAUAUGGAAGAACACCAGUGGCGAAGGCGGCUCUCUGGUCUGCAACUGACGCUGAGGCUCGAAAGCAUGGGUAGCGAACAGGAUUAGAUACCCUGGUAGUCCAUGCCGUAAACGAUGAGC
This 467-nucleotide ribosomal RNA is filed under the name uncultured bacterium. RNAcentral's name for it is "partial 16S ribosomal RNA". It matches the Rfam family "Bacterial small subunit ribosomal RNA", at positions 355 to 814 of the family's 1533-position model. The record is from RNAcentral.